Molecule: non-coding RNA, 290 nt
Organism: Paramuricea clavata
Lineage: Eukaryota; Metazoa; Cnidaria; Anthozoa; Malacalcyonacea; Plexauridae
Source: the annotation of a GenBank genome assembly
AUUCUAUGUUUAAAUCUUUUUGUGUAGAGGAUGCUCAAACCCUUUUAUCAGGAUCUCAACCCCUUGUCUAUUGGUACUGGACCUCUGGAAGAGAUAAGUUUGAUUUCAUUGAUUGCAGAGGGAAUGUUUGUGAAAAAUUCAAAUUGUGCAAUAUAGCCAACAACCUGCAGUUUAUGAUAAUGCACAAUUUAUGAUAAUGAUAUUAUAUUGAUCAUUAAUGUAAUGCAUGUAUUGUACAUGCAGGAUAUACCGUAAAUCUCCAAAUAUAAGCCCCCCAUGUAUAAGUCCCC